GAUGAACGCUGGCGGCGUGCCUAAUACAUGCAAGUCGAGCGAACAGACGAGGAGCUUUCUCCUCUGACGUUAGCGGCGGACGGGUGAGUAACACGUGGAUCACCUACUUAUAAUACUGGGAUGACUUCGGGAAACCGGAGCCAAUACCGGAUCAUAUAUUGAACCGCAUGGAUCAAUAGUGCAUGACGGCUUUCCCGUCUCUUUUAGCUGGUUCCGCGUCGGAUUAGCUAGUUGGUAAGGUAACGGCUUACCAAGGCAACGAUGCGUAGCCGAUCUGAGAGGGUGAUCAGCCACACUGGAACUGAGACACGGUCCAGACUCCUACGGGAGGCAGCAGUAGGGAAUCUUCCGCAAUGGGCGAAAGCCUGACGGAGCAACGCCGCGUGAGUGAUGAAGGUCUUCGGAUUGUAAAACUCUGUUAUUAGGGAAGAACAGAUGUGUAAGUAACUAUGCACGUCUUGACGGUACCUAAUCAGAAAGCCACGGCUAACUACGUG
Molecule: ribosomal RNA, 497 nt
Filed under: uncultured bacterium
Lineage: Bacteria
Description: partial 16S ribosomal RNA
Rfam family: Bacterial small subunit ribosomal RNA
Source: RNAcentral